UCGACAGAAGACAAACUCAGAGUUAUGAAUUAAAAUGUCUCCAAUUUUCAUCAAACAGUUAAACAUUCAUUUUAUCAAUAACUAACAAUGAGUUGCUCUGGGUCUUUUUAACAUUUACUUCCUCCAUCAAUCUCUCAGGCCUCAAAGUGCGGCUGCGACCUGCAGUGGUGACAGAGGGUGGGAGAGUCUCUCUGACCUGUGGGACCAGCUGUCCUCUACCUACUAACACAAACUACAUUUGGUACCUCAACAAUCGACCUCUGAAUCUCACAAACAACCAAAACAAACACCUGUUUCUAGACCCAGUCAGCAGUCAGGAUGCAGGAAACUACUCUUGUUGUAUCAAAAAUGGUACUAAAAGUACCUGCUCCAGUGAAAAGACUCUCACCGUCCAGAGAACCACAGGAACAUCAGCAGUCGCUACAGGAGUCCGUGCUGCUCUUUUGGUUUUGAUACCUCUUGUUUUCAUCUACUGGUUUAGAAAGAAGAAGAGGACUUCAGUUCAGGUUCCCACAACUGAAGCUAAAGACAAUACGGCACAGUUAAACAAUGCCCACGUGUAUGAAAACAUAUCAGGUGAAGCAACUCAACACCAUGAGCGAGGUCCAAUUCACUGAGAACAACGGAUAACACCCAGCCAUGUCAGCUCAAGGGAGAGGAGCAAGUCACUUAUACUGUUGUCAGCUUUAGACCCAACGCAAACCCUGAGUGAGCUUAUUUUAGCACAACAACCGUGGAGUCCCAGGAAAGGACUGAGCUUUGCAGAUGAAAGCAACAUGCAUUGAUAAAUCUGUCAGUAAAGGAGA
This is a long non-coding RNA of Mugil cephalus (flathead mullet), 806 nucleotides long. RefSeq lists it as uncharacterized. The transcript is spliced from 3 exons. The record is from RefSeq and is a predicted model, not a curated record. NCBI's taxonomy places the organism in Eukaryota, Metazoa, Chordata, Actinopteri, Mugiliformes, Mugilidae.